CUACGGGGCGCACCAGUGGGGAAUAUUGCACAAUGGGGGAAACCCUGAUGCAGCAACGCCGCGUGAAGGAAGAAGGCUCUUGGGUUGUAAACUUCUUUGAAUGGGGACGAAACAAAUGACGGUACCCAUAAAACAAGCCACGGCUAACUACGUGCCAGCAGCCGCGGUAAUACGUAGGUGGCAAGCGUUAUCCGGAAUUACUGGGUGUAAAGGGCGUGUAGGCGGGAGAGCAAGUCAGAUGUGAAAUGCCAAGGCUUAACCAUGGAACUGCAUCUGAAACUGUUUUUCUUGAGUACUGGAGAGGAAAGUGGAAUUCCUAGUGUAGCGGUGAAAUGCGUAGAGAUUAGGAGGAACACCAGUGGCGAAGGCGGCUUUCUGGACAGUAACUGACGCUGAGGUGCGAAAGCGUGGGGAGCAAACAGGAUUAGAUACCCUCGUAGUC
Molecule: ribosomal RNA, 442 nt
Filed under: uncultured bacterium
Lineage: Bacteria
Description: partial 16S ribosomal RNA
Rfam family: Bacterial small subunit ribosomal RNA
Source: RNAcentral